RNAcentral lists this ribosomal RNA (534 nucleotides) under Bifidobacterium adolescentis. Its description in RNAcentral is "bacterial SSU rRNA". Lineage: Bacteria; Bacillati; Actinomycetota; Actinomycetes; Bifidobacteriales; Bifidobacteriaceae. The record is from RNAcentral.
AAAMGGUGGUAAUGCCGGAUGCUCCAGUUGRMYGCAUGUYCYUCUGGGAAAGMUUYAUCGGUAUGGGAUGGGGUCGCGUCCUAUCAGCUUGAUGGCGGGGUAACGGCCCACCAUGGCUUCGACGGGUAGCCGGCCUGAGAGGGCGACCGGCCACAUUGGGACUGAGAUACGGCCCAGACUCCUACGGGAGGCAGCAGUGGGGAAUAUUGCACAAUGGGCGCAAGCCUGAUGCAGCGACGCCGCGUGCGGGAUGACGGCCUUCGGGUUGUAAACCGCUUUUGACUGGGAGCAAGCCCUUCGGGGUGAGUGUACCUUUCGAAUAAGCACCGGCUAACUACGUGCCAGCAGCCGCGGUAAUACGUAGGGUGCAAGCGUUAUCCGGAAUUAUUGGGCGUAAAGGGCUCGUAGGCGGUUCGUCGCGUCCGGUGUGAAAGUCCAUCGCUUAACGGUGGAUCCGCGCCGGGUACGGGCGGGCUUGAGUGCGGUAGGGGAGACUGGAAUUCCCGGUGUAACGGUGGAAUGUGUAGAUAUCGG